UUGGGAAUCUUGGACAAUGGGCGAAAGUCUGACGGAGCAACGCCGCGUGGGUGAANAAGGUUUUCGGAUCGUAAAGCUCUGUCUUCAGGGACNAAUGUGCUCUUUGUGAAUAAUGAGGAGCAAUGACGGUACCUGAGGAGNAAGCCACGGCUAACUACGUG
This 161-nucleotide ribosomal RNA is filed under the name uncultured bacterium. RNAcentral describes it as "partial 16S ribosomal RNA". It matches the Rfam family "Bacterial small subunit ribosomal RNA", at positions 355 to 507 of the family's 1533-position model. The record is from RNAcentral.